UACAGAGGUGGCAAGCGUUGUUCGGAAUUACUGGGCGUAAAGGGCGCGUAGGCGGUUCGUUAAGUCCUGUGUGAAAUCCCCCGGCUCAACUGGGGAACUGAACAGGAAACUAGCGGGCUUGAGUUCGGGAGAGGGAAGCGGAAUUCCGGGUGUAGCGGUGAAAUGCGUAGAUAUCCGGAGGAACACCGGUGGCGAAGGCGGCUUCCUGGACCGACACUGACGCUGAGGCGCGAAAGCUAGGGGAGCAAUCGGG
Molecule: ribosomal RNA, 253 nt
Filed under: uncultured bacterium
Lineage: Bacteria
Description: partial 16S ribosomal RNA
Rfam family: Bacterial small subunit ribosomal RNA
Source: RNAcentral